Molecule: ribosomal RNA, 638 nt
Filed under: uncultured bacterium
Lineage: Bacteria
Description: bacterial SSU rRNA
Rfam family: Bacterial small subunit ribosomal RNA
Source: RNAcentral
ACACAUGCAAGUCGAACGAUGAAGAAAAGAAUUGAAGCUUCGGCAGAAAUUCAUUUCGGAUUAGUGGCAGACGGGUGAGUAACGCGUGAGCAACCUACCUCUUACAAAGGGAUAGCCUCGGGAAACCGGGAUUAAUACCAUAUAACAUUGCGACGAAGCAUUUCGAUGCAAUCAAAGCUACGGCGGUAAGAGAUGGGCUCGCGUCCCAUUAACCAGAUGGUGAGGUAACGGCUCACCAUAGUAACGAUGGGUAACCGGCCUGAGAGAGUGAACGGUCACACUGGAACUGAGACACGGUCCAGACUCCUACGGGAGGCAGCAGUGGGGAAUAUUGCACAAUGGAGGGAACUCUGAUGCAGCGACGCCGCGUGAGUGAUGAAGGAAUUCGUUUCGUAAAACUCUGUUCUAUGGGAAGAAAAGGACUGUACCAUAGGAGAAAGCUCCGGCUAAAUACGUGCCAGCAGCCGCGGUAAUACGUAUGGAGCGAGCGUUGUCCGGAAUUAUUGGGCGUAAAGGGUGCGCAGGCGGCUUUACAAGUUGGAUGUGAAAUAUUGUGGCUCAACCACAAACGUGCAUCCAAAACUGCAAAGCUUGAGUUAAGGAGAGGUAAGUGGAAUUCCUGGUGUAGCGGUGGAAUG